GAUGAAGAACGUAGCGAAAUGCGAUAAGUAGUGUGAAUUGCAGAAUUCAGUGAAUCAUCGAAUCUUUGAACGCACAUUGCGCCCCUUGGUAUCCCGAGGGGCAUGCCUGUUCGAGCGUCAUUUCACCACUCAAGCCUGGCUUGGUGUUGGGCGACGUCCUCGUUGGGGACGCGCCUCGAAACGCUCGGCGGCGUGGCACCGGCUUUAAGCGUAGCAGAAUCUUUCGCUUUGGAAGUCGGGGCCCCGUCUGCCGGAAGACCUGCUCGCAAGGUUGACCUCGGAUCAGGCAGGGAUACCCGCUGAACUUAAGCAUAUCAAUAAGCGGAGGA
This 329-nucleotide unclassified non-coding RNA is filed under the name soil metagenome. RNAcentral describes it as "partial contains 5.8S ribosomal RNA, internal transcribed spacer 2, and large subunit ribosomal RNA". The stretch from base 1 to 120 matches the Rfam family "5.8S ribosomal RNA", at positions 35 to 154 of the family's 154-position model. The record is from RNAcentral.